AUUUUAAAUCACAAUAGGAGUUGAGAAGCUUGCCACAGUUCACAGAUUCCCUGAAAUCUCUCCACAGGUUCUCAGAUGAAGAACUGGAUUCAAUGAUGUAAAUUUUACCACCAAAUGUGUACGCUUCUGUUGGAAACAUCACAGCGUCUGAAGUAUGGAAGUUGAGAAUCAUCCCACAAGGCAAUGGAGAGCAAAGUAAAGUGGACCAAACCAGGAGAAGUUGAACAGCAACAACAGCAGUCCAAUGAUCAACUGUGAAUGACAAUUAAUAUCCACAAUGCAAAGAUCCAGGACCCCAAGGGGCUCAUAAAAAAAGAUGUAUAACAGAAUGAGUCAACAUUUUGCCGGCCACAGCUACCUGAUUGUGGCGUGCCUAGUUGAGACUGACAAAAAAUAAACAAACGCACUAAAUGAGGAACAGAAUUCCAGGCUUGGUAUUAGUAAGCCAUUUAUACAGAAGAUGCUUGUCUGGAAAACAGGAAGGCACAUUCCCCAGCAUGUUACUCAUGUCCUGCCGUGUUACCCUGAAGCCUGAAUUGGCAUUGACAUUCUACAUGUCUGCCCUGCAACAACAUCUGGGGCUCUAAACCACAGAUGGAAAUGAAACUCUGUCCUUUGCAAAGCACGAAGUCAUGGAAUGAAUGCAAGCAGUGUUGUAAGUUGUGACCCCUCCUGCAAGGAUCCUGCACAUUCAGAACUUUUACCUCCUUGAUGAGAUCAUGGCCUUUGAAAUAGAUGGCUUCCUGAGGACACCAUGAUCGGUCACUGAAGACCAUCCCACUCUGGCAAUGGAUUGCAGUUGCUGAAUUUAUUUCCUGAUAUUAUAUGGGUCUGGAUAAAAGUACAACUCUUAGAAAAAGAAAAGAGCAUCUUAGCUAACAUUGAAAACAAAAAAGGGGAAAAAAUUGUUCUGAUGCAUCAGGCACCAGAAUAUGUAUUACCUUAUUAGCAAAAUAAAAGGUAUUAUUGGAUAAAAUUAUCCCCUUGG
RNAcentral lists this long non-coding RNA (988 nucleotides) under Monodelphis domestica (gray short-tailed opossum). RNAcentral describes it as "lncRNA (ENSMODG00000031545.2)". The record is from RNAcentral. Lineage: Eukaryota; Metazoa; Chordata; Mammalia; Didelphimorphia; Didelphidae.